Molecule: long non-coding RNA, 751 nt
Organism: Ornithodoros turicata
Lineage: Eukaryota; Metazoa; Arthropoda; Arachnida; Ixodida; Argasidae
Exons: 3
Source: RefSeq, a predicted model, not a curated record
UGUCAGACAAGCCAGCUUUCUGCUUUUUUGUGGUUGUGAGCUCAUACCUCCUAAAGACAGUUUGGAGUUCGAGUCCCUAUCAUUCCACUCCAUGGUACCUUCUAUGGGGGAAUGUGAAGCAGUACCAUAGCCGCCCUGCUCUUUGGGGGUGCAGUAAAAGUGUCCGUUUGCUCUUCAUGUGAGUUUGGUGCUGAUUCCGUAAUGUCAGUUUCAGUUGAAACUGUUGAGAUUGUUGACUUUUCUUAUAUUGCAGCUGCAAAUGACUUUUCGAAAAUGAACGGAGAUGCUUUCUUUCUCGCUUCUGGCGCACACAACAAGGCGAACCACGACAAGCAUCAGCCGCAUGUGCGAAUUUAUUACAUCUGAUGCAGCGAAGUGGAUUUGGAAUGUACGGCCUAACGUCUGCUGAGAGGUUCGAUCCAUAAAGAUUCCUUGAAGUCGCCCACACUUCAUGCCCCCAUGCUAGGGUUGAUCAAAAAGUUCCCGGACGAGCCCUAUAAAAAAUGCAACCAGAUCAUCUAUGCAAAUUUCUGCUCCUUCAAAGUAGUCUCCUUGGGCACCUACACAUCACUCCCAGCGCCGCUGCCAUUGUCGGAACGCUUCCUAUAAGUCUUGUUCUUCCAGCUGCUGAAGCACCUUCUGCGAUUCCACCUGGAUCGUCUGGACGUCGUCAAAUCGGCGGCCCUUUAGCUGCGACAUCGGCUUAGGGAAUAGAAAGAAGUCGCAGGGGGCCAAGUCCGGCGAAUACAGG